GGCCUCAUAGCUCAGUUGGAUAGAGCGUUGGCCUUCCUCUUGCUGGCGUGGUUUCGAAUCCCACCGAAGCCG
This 72-nucleotide transfer RNA is filed under the name Schistocephalus solidus. It matches the Rfam family "tRNA". From Rfam's summary of the family: Transfer RNA (tRNA) molecules are approximately 80 nucleotides in length. Their secondary structure includes four short double-helical elements and three loops (D, anti-codon, and T loops). Lineage: Eukaryota; Metazoa; Platyhelminthes; Cestoda; Diphyllobothriidea; Diphyllobothriidae. The record is from Rfam by way of RNAcentral.